This 1947-nucleotide ribosomal RNA is filed under the name human gut metagenome. RNAcentral describes it as "bacterial LSU rRNA". It matches the Rfam family "Bacterial large subunit ribosomal RNA", at positions 3 to 1991 of the family's 2925-position model. The record is from RNAcentral.
UUAAGCUAUAAAGAGCACAGGGUGGAUGCCUAGGCACUGAGAGCCGAUGAAGGACGUGAUAAGCUGCGAAAAGCCACGGGGAGGAGCAAAUAUCCUUUGAGCCGUGGAUAUCCGAAUGGGGGAACCCACUUAAGUAAACCUUAAGUACUGACAAGCCAAUACAUAACUUGCCAGAGGGAACCCGGGGAACUGAAACAUCUAAGUACCCGGAGGAAGAGAAAGAAACAUCGAUUUCCUUAGUAGCGGCGAGCGAAAGGGAAAGAGCCCAAACCGAGAGAUUUAUCUUUCGGGGUUAGGACUGCAUAAUUGAUCUGCGAUUGAUAGGAGAAUGGUCUGGGAAGUCCAGCAGGAAAGCGUGAAAGCCGCGUAUCCGAAAUUGAAAGCAGCAAGGCAGUAUCCAGAGUACCACGAGACACGAGGAACCUUGUGGGAAUGAGCGGAGACCACUCCGUAAGGCUAAAUACUACUCAGUGACCGAUAGCGCAUAGUACUGUGAAGGAAAGGUGAAAAGGACCCCGGGAGGGGAGUGAAAGAGAACCUGAAACCCUGUGUUUACAAGCUGUCGGAGCACGAUAAGUGCGACGGCGUACUUUUUGUAGAACGGUCCGGCGAGUUAUGAUACGCGGUAAGGUUAAGGACUUAAGGUCCGGAGCCGAAGCGAAAGCGAGUGUUAAGAGCACGAGGAAUCACGUAUCAUAGACCCGAAACCGGGUGAUCUAUCCAUGUCCAGGAUGAAGCUGCCGUAAGAGGUAGUGGAGGUCCGAACACACAUCCGUUGAAAAGGGUGGUGAUGAGGUGUGGAUAGGGGAGAAAUUCCAAUCGAACCCGGAGAUAGCUGGUUCUCCUCGAAAUAGCUUUAGGGCUAGCCUUCAGUUAGUCUGCCGCAGGUAGAGCACUGAAUUUCCUAGGGGGCGUCAAAGCCUACCGAAGAAUAUCAAACUGCGAAUGGCGGACAGAUGAUGCUGGGGAGUCAGACUGCACGAGAUAAGUUGGGUGGUCAAAAGGGAAAGAGCCCAGACCUACAGCUAAGGUCCCAAAGUGCGUGUUAAGUGGAAAAGGAUGUGGGAUUUCGAAGACAACUAGGAUGUUGGCUCAGAAGCAGCCACACAUUAAAAGAGUGCGUAAUAGCUCACUAGUCGAGAGGUCCUGCGCCGAAAAUGUCCGGGGCUGAAACACGACACCGAAGCUUAGGAACAGAAAUGUUGGUAGAGGAGCAUUGUUAGCGGAACGAAGCCAUACCGGAAGGAGUGGUGGACUGCUAAGAAGAGAGAAUGCCGGAAUGAGUAGCGAGAUUGAAGUGAGAAUCUUCAAGGCCGAAUAUCUAAGGUUUCCAGGGUAAAGCUGAUCUGCCCUGGGUAAGUCGGGGCCUAAGGCGAGGUCGAAAGACGUAGCCGAUGGACAACAGGUUGAAAUUCCUGUACUGCGAUAUAUCAGAAAUGUGGGGACACAGAAGGAAAGUGUGAGCCGGGAAAGGAAAGACCGGUGCAAGCACAGGAGGAGAGAUACAGGCAAAUCCGUAUUUCAAUCCAAUGGUGUUACGCGGAGCGAACAAAAGUAGCGAAGCACACAGACCAUCUGUCGAGAAAAGCCGCUAUUGUGUAUACCGUACCCGUACCGUAAACCGACACAGGUGGAUGAGGAGAGAAUCCUAAGGCCGGCGGGAGAAGCAUUGUUAAGGAACUCGGCAAAAUGACCCCGUAACUUCGGGAGAAGGGGUGCUCACGCAAGUGAGCCGCAGAGAACUGGCCCAAGCAACUGUUUAGCAAAAACACAGGUCUAUGCAAAACCGAAAGGUGAGGUAUAUGGGCUGACGCCUGCCCGGUGCUGGAAGGUUAAGAGGAGAUGUUAGAGCAAUCGAAGCAUUGAAUUUAAGCCCCAGUAAACGGCGGCCGUAACUAUAACGGUCCUAAGGUAGCGAAAUUCCUUGUCGGGUAAGUUCCGACCCGC